CCCGAAAGGGUAGCUAAUACCGCAUGUUGAGCCGACAUCAAUGUCGUCUCCAAAGCAGAAAUGCGCUAUGGGCGGGGCCUGCGUUCGAUUAGCUAGUUGGUGGGGUAAUGGCUCACCAAGGCGACGAUCGAUAGGUGGUCUAAGAGGACGAUCACCCAGACUGGGACUGAGACACGGCCCAGACUCCUACGGGUGGCAGCAGUCGGGAAUUUUGCGCAAUGGGGGAAACCCUGACGCAGCAAUACCGCGUGUGGGAUGAAGGCCUUCGGGUCGUAAACCACUUUUUUCGGGGACGAUAAUGACGGUACCCGAAGAAUAAGCCACGGCUAACUACGUGCCAGCAGCCGCGGUAAUAC
This 356-nucleotide ribosomal RNA is filed under the name uncultured bacterium. RNAcentral's name for it is "bacterial SSU rRNA". It matches the Rfam family "Bacterial small subunit ribosomal RNA", at positions 150 to 526 of the family's 1533-position model. The record is from RNAcentral.